Molecule: RNA transcript, 2003 nt
Organism: Solanum tuberosum (potato)
Lineage: Eukaryota; Viridiplantae; Streptophyta; Magnoliopsida; Solanales; Solanaceae
Gene name: DNA topoisomerase 6 subunit B-like
Exons: 8
Source: RefSeq, a predicted model, not a curated record
UUGUAUAUAAGGUUUUAGGUCUACUUAUGUCAGUUCGUAUCGUUGCAUCCUAUGUGAACUUGUCACAAAAUUGUCAUAGUUACAUGCAUAGUAAGCACAUGUUACAUGUUGGUUCUCUCAGGCCUUUAGGGUAUCGAGUGCUUGUCCGUCUUAAUUGGAUUUGAGGCGUGACAUUAUCCUUUUCUCUCAUUUCUACAGGCAUUGAUUUGAUCCAAGAUGAGUACAGGACUUCCCAUUGAGAUUAAAUCUUUCAUGAAAAGUGAAAAUUAUACCUCAUUCUGUAGGCUGGAUAUUGAUAAUUACAAGAAAACGAAGACCGGUGGCAUGGUGCUGAAAUCCAGAUUGUCGUUGAAAGGAACUGGACAACGUACCGAGAAAAAUGUGCUUAUAAGGUUCACCAGAAGAACAUACAUAAUGCCUUCAGUUCCUCUUGAGACCAAGUACCAUCCAUCUGAUGUGGACAUACUUCUUAUCAAACGGCUUAUAACGGAAACAUCAAAACACUCUUUUGCAGUUUUCCUUCAGCAUGAAUUUGUGGCAGUCUCAUGCAGAACGUUUAAUCGUGAAGAGAUUGGCAGAAGUAAAUUUAAUCCCAUGAUUGGUCUGGGUGACCAUGAACGUAGAGAUGAAGCCCUAUAUGAUGAUUUUGAGACAGCAAAGGCUCGUGAGAAAAGACUUGCCAAGGAAGCUCGGGUUCUAGAGAUUCAAGCAAAGAAUGUUGCUCUUGGGAAGAAAGGAAAAGAUCCUGCAGCUACAAAGGCAGCUAAGGGCAUGGAGGCUUCAUAUUAUAGGGUGACAUGCAAGGCAUUGAUUUGGUCCAAGAUGAGUACAGGAAAAUUAUACCUCAUUCUGUAGGCUGCAUCACAAGUAUGAGAUCACUUAGAAAUAGAAAGCUAUAUUUAAGAAUGCAUGGUAACACAGGAUUAUAUUGAUUUUGUUUUUCAAGGUAUAUUUCUGUAUUACGCCUUCUUUUCAGAAAUGUUCCUCACAUUACAUGAAAAACGGAAAUACAAAGACCGGUGGCAUGGUGCUGAAAUCUAGAUUGUCAUUGAAAGAACUGGACAACGUACCGAGUAUGUAGUUCUUGAAUAAUUGUGACAGAAGUUCUCCUAAGUUUCACCUCAUUCAUGCAUUGAAAGCAAACUUAGUCAAAUAAUUCAACUUUUAUAUUUCUGAAAACUGAUCUUUUCUUUCAGUGUUUACAGUCCAAAGUAUUGCAUUAUAUGCAACAAAUGGUUGUCAUCACGCCCUAUGCCCAAUUCCUUUUCCAAUUCAUAUCAGAUUCUCCUGAGGAAAAUGUGAUUAUAAGGUUCACCAGAAGAACAAACAUAAUGCCUUCAGUUCCUCUUGAGGCAAAGUAAGUACCAUCCAUCUGCUGUGGACAUACUUCUUAUCAAAUGGCUAUAACGGAAACAUCAAAACAGACUCUUUUGCAGUUCCUUCAGCAUGAAUUUGUAAACAUUGGGAAGUCUCAUCUGAAUGUUUAAUCGAUGAGAACUUGAAACUGAUUGCAUUCAUCUGUGUGAGAUUCCUUGGUAAAAUAAAAUUAGUUGGCUCUAUGGCUUAUUUAUUGACCAUUGAAAAUAGUUUAUCUAUUGCUUGCAUUCUAUUCAGCUACAAUUAGACGACAGUCUGUUAUAGUGGUUACUUAUUGCUCAGUGCUCACCAACUCAAUGCAGUUGGAAAAAGAUAUAAAAUUGUCCUUUAGGUCACACCCCAAUUUAGGGGUACAUAAUACUGAACAAAGCACAAUGACAUUCUACCCAUUCAUGAACAUUACAAUAUAAUAUUUCAUAAAAUGUUUGAUCAUCAUUCAAUUAAAUAUAUGAAGUCUUGGAAGUAUCAAAACAGUGUGCGGAAUCAAAGUAAAUAAUACAUAUCACUAUCAUGUCUUAUGCACGUAGCUAGACCUCAUAGUACAUGCCAUACGACCUCUAAAGUUGUAGUUAAGCAAAUUGAAACAAGGAUAACUAAGGCAAGCAAGGGGUCCAAAUAUUAUCGGU